CUCCACCCGGCCAGCACCCCAUCUUAUCUCUUAUCUCUUUCCCCCACACCACACACGCUCCCUCCGCCGCCGCCCCCUGACUUGCCGGCCGAUUUGCUCGCGCCGCCGCCUUUCCCACCAGCGAUGGCGCCUCCCACAGCCUCCUUCUAGCAUGUGGUGCUCCCCCCACGUUCCAAGCCGAAGGUGCCUCCUGAAGAUAGGACAAGAAAAGAGGGAGGCAGAUCCACCGCGACCAAGAGCAGGUCAGGCGGCGGCCAUGGCACGCCCAGAUCCGCCAGCGCCAUCGUCAUCGAGCACCUCUGCUCCGAGCGUCGGAUCCACCUCGGGCUCCAUCUACACAACCACGCACUGGCAGCCGCUGCCAUGGAAGGUUCUCUAUGUGCUUGCUUCUUCCCUUCCCAAGACGCUGUUGCUCCGACGCCAUGGAUAAUGUGCAGGACAGAGCCGCCAUAUGGUGUGCGCGGUGAUUCUUUUUCCACUCUGAUGCCUUCCGCGCUACGUGUCUGAUGGACCCGAUUUUACUUCCACUCCGACAUAGCUAAUGCAGAAAAUAUGAUAAUACCAGAGGAGGAAGCGAGCUUAGCAAAUGAUGAAUUAUAGAGGCUCUCAAAUAUUGGUGAAACAAGAGGAAGGUGAGAGGUCUUAUAGAACUGAAUAGGAUUCUUUUUAUAGAACUGUUAUCUAUGGUAUGAUGCUUGGUUCAAAAAUAAGAAGGGCUAGAAUGGGAGAAAGGGUCAUCAGUGUGAACUAAAAGUCUAUUGUUUUUCUUCUGGGUAUGCUUUGCAUUUUAUUGUCAUGUUUCAUGCUUCAUAGCGUGUGUAUGUGCAUAUAAUUACACACAUAUACACUAGUUUGUAAUGUCACUAUAAAUAGAUGAUUCAUCAGACCAUCAGAGUUUGCAUCAGACUAUAAUCGAUGAUGCAUCAAAUCGAAAGGAGGAUCAUCUGCUACAUCAGGCAUUUACAUGAUAGCUUGUUUCUAUGUGUACUGUGUAAUAUGAAGUAAAAAAAGUGUAGUUUGAUUCAGUGGCAUGCUUUACCAUUGAAUGAUCUUGAGCAACAUUGCACCAGCACGUGUCUGGGGUGGAAAAGGUCGGGAAAACUAUCCCAGAGUCCAGCCUGAACUUAUAUUCAAAGCAAUGGGUGUUGAGCCUGAUAUUAUGUUUGCUGGACAACUCGAAUCUAAAAGUGCAGGUCAAGAAACACCAGAACUAUUUAAUGUUUCUAUAUUUUUUAUUUACUCUGUCGUUUGUUUAUGUUUCCAGAUUACUGUCGAGAUGUAGCUCGUUUGGUUCAUAUAAAUCUUAUUCCAAGCCUUUAUAUAGUUGUUUUAGGUCUAAUAUUUCACAGCAUUUCGAAGCCAUUAAAGUUAUCAUUGACUUACACUGCACUGAACAUAUAAAAGUUAUCUUUUAUUUCACUCAAGUUUAACCUCAAGCCUAAGACUUAUUGGUCGAUAAGCACUGCUAAUGUUCAGAUUGAAAACAAAGCCCUAGAUCAGUGACAGAGUAACUAUCUGGUGCUUCAACCCAUCCAGAGAUGAAUUCUGCACCCGAGUUUCUUCCUUCUUGUUGAAAAAAGUUAAGGGGCCCCUCCUCAUGUUGUGUUGAUUUAUAGUGUCCAGAUUGGUUAAGUUCCACCUUGCUCGAUGAAAGAUCUGCUUAUAGUACUUGAGAAAGGAAUUAUCAGUUCCUAAAUUCGGCUCGAGAGUAAGUUAUUAUUAUGUUCUAUCAGAUCUAGUCCAUUAACAAAAUAGGAGUUGCUUCCUCUUUUGCAUUUAUGAUAAUUAGCGGAGUUGCAUGGUCUCACAAUGUUUAUGUGGUGGUUAGUUGCUCGGGCUUUUUUCUUGUAUUUCAAUACUAGAAAAUAGAAGAGGCUAUCAAUGUCAGCACAAAGCUGUUGGGCUAUAGCAAUGUAACUAAUCAAGUUUCACAACGGCCUGUUGGUUCUCAAUCGUUGUAGUUCAGAGCUGUAUGUUUAGUUUAAACUCGAGCUAACUCUGGCCGAUGUAGAUGGUUUCCAAUAUAAUGCUACAUAAUUUCCCCUUUUGUAUUCGUCACCCUUGUUUGGCACUACUUUUUUUAUCAGCAUAUGCAAACUUUCAUGUAACAUGCAAACUCUCAUGGAUCUGUACGUGUGUUUGUAAGAACUUGAAUGCUGGUUUGAUGAUUUAUUUUCUACGAAGUUGGGCAUAUAUUCAUGGCUGUUUCUUGAUAACAUUGCAUGUAACUGGGUUUCUUCAUUGCACUUAAAUAAGUCUGUUUUUAGCUUUGGCCUAUAUGCUGCCUAAUUAAACUUGAAAAUUAGAGAGAAACAAGAAAACUAGGAGAGAUGCAUAGAUUUAAUUAGAGAGGAAGUGCAAUCAAGUAUUUGUUUACUUUUUAUUUAAGCAAGACAGUUUGUUGAACAUCUUCUGUUUUUAGAUUUUUGGACUCAAGAGCAACUCAGAAGUUUGAACAAAUGCUGCUAUGAUAAUAUUGCUGAAACAUAUGAGUGAUUUUACAGGGUAUAAUGGCAGAAGGUAUCAAAUCGAAGAUGUUAUGGCUUUUCUUCAUGGGAUGCAUGGUCGACCUACUUUCAUAUGGAAGUUGUUGUUGGUUCGAUGAACAAAGACUUGGUGUGUUCCAUAGUGUUUUGUAUAGUGACUAGACAUGAGUCUCUUAUGAACUUAGCUCGUAUUUUGUAACAGGUCACAGCUUAUAUGUCGACCUAUGUAUUUCCUUAGUGGUUGUAGCUAACUUGAGUGAAGAAAACUAAUGAAUCUUCUAUAUGUUGAAUAUAUAUGUAUUUAUCAAUGGUAUCUUGUGAUGAAUACAAGAGUAUAAUUGUUUAUAUA
Long non-coding RNA from Triticum dicoccoides, 2835 nucleotides. RefSeq lists it as uncharacterized. The record is from RefSeq and is a predicted model, not a curated record. NCBI's taxonomy places the organism in Eukaryota, Viridiplantae, Streptophyta, Magnoliopsida, Poales, Poaceae. The transcript has 4 exons.